This is a long non-coding RNA of Epinephelus moara (kelp grouper), 5792 nucleotides long. RefSeq lists it as uncharacterized. The transcript is spliced from 4 exons. NCBI's taxonomy places the organism in Eukaryota, Metazoa, Chordata, Actinopteri, Perciformes, Serranidae. The record is from RefSeq and is a predicted model, not a curated record.
GAAUUCAAAUGUAGUACACAAGAUGGAAACCCACAACUUCCCAAAUAACCGACUUCUCUGAAUAAAUCCAGGGAAUACCCCAUGUCUUCUAAACUGAUUUAAGUCGGCCUCCCAUGGGGAAGAGGCAGGAAACACUGUUGCACUACAAGAAAAGGAUUUGGAUAUUGGACCAUCAUAAAGAUCCCCGUGGAGCUGCCUGGAAGAAGGAUCCUAAUAUCAUGUAUCAGUUAGAUGACCAAGUUCAGGGCCUGCACGACUGCUGCAGCUCAGCGCCGGAGCUCGGAUCAAUGGAAUACUGUUGGGGAUACAACGGACCACACCCACACACUGAUUAGACCCUCUGAUUGGAUAUCACAUGGAUGUCUUGACCACUACCAUGGCUUUCAUGCAAAUUGAUGAAGGAGCAAAGAAGCAGCUGUGAGAAGCCCGGAAGGUCCCCCAACUCUGCCCCUCACCUGUGUCACAUCUGCCUGCCAGUGCCAUCAAGGUGCGUCAAUCUUCCACCCUGGCAUCUCUUUACCUGUGGCACUACACUGCACCUUCCUGGCUGGCACGCUUUCGACCCUCCCCCAUCACUCCCGCCUCUUGUUCCUCAAGGCAUCUGUCACUCACCUGUCAUUUCUUUCAUCAACUCCUGCCUUACUCCUACCUUCUUGCGUUGGCCUCGGCAAAGGCGGGAAGGAAACCAUCGGAGCGAAAAUAGUGACCACUUUGUCCCAGUUCCAGGUUUAGCUGCUGUGGAGGAUGACACAUCAGGGAGGUGUUGACUGACAGCGGCAUUCCUACUAAAGCAGGUUUCUCUCUGGGGACACAGGAGAUUGAUGAACGUAUGGGUCAAAUAUUUGACACACUUGAACCCUGCAGCAAAAACUUAUAGAUUUGUUUGGCAUAAUUAUAUCGAGUUUGAUACAAUGAUAAAGAUAAAGUUAUACAAAGUCAACACUGAUGUUCCUUAGACUGUCCUGUGUUCAAGUUAUAGUUAGUAUAGUAUAACUCCUGCACCAGUGUUACCAAGACAUAUACCAAUAUCCUCUAGAUUAUAAUGGAACCAGAUGGCACUCAGCUUGAGGUGCUGAAAGCGGCAAAAAAAAAAAUAUAAAAAAAUAAAUCAUCAUGACCCUGUUACUCAUGAUAAUCUACAGACCUUGUUGGGAGCAGUUUCAUAUAGGAACUAUUUUGUUUCUACACCCACCAAUCAAAUCACCACACAGAAGGGAAGCAUGUAGGUAAGAGGAAAAAUGUGUAUUUCUGAUUUUGGGUUGAACUGCCCCUUUAAAGAUGCUUAUAAUGAUGAAGUCCAUGAGGUGUGACUGAAAGCUCAGAAAAGCUAGACCCUGGGUUAAGAUUUCUCAAACUGUCUCCUGUUGUUGUAUUAAAUAAAGAUAAGAACAAAAACUGUGGAGCUCCAUAUUUCUACAAAUUAGAUUAUGAUAACUUACGUUGAUUAAGGUCAAACAAUGAAAAGAAAUAAAAACAACGAGCCAAAAAUGUUCUCUCACAGUAAAAACCCUUUCUGUCCGAUGGAAAUAGAACCCGGGCCAUCAGUGUUGAAGAUGAUGAUGUGUCAUUCAUCACCCCACCUGUUUCCAGUCAUGUCUCUUCCACAUAAUCCCUUUCACAGUGAGAAAACAUAUUUCAGUCUCUCCUUCCUGAGCACAAAGGAGGAUAUCGUUUUCAGUUUCGUAGAUUCCCAUAAUUUCAGGAGACUUGAGUGACACACACACACAAGUAUUAACACACAUUUAUUCCUUUUUGUCAGCAGUAAACACACACCUUAGUUUUCUGAGAUUUGUUGCUGGCCCGAGGGUCUCUGUCUUUCCACUCUGGGGAAAAUGAUCAAAGCAGUCCUGCUCCUCAAGGGUUAAAACGUCAGCAGCAACAAAUUUGCCUUCACUAAGCCUGUCACACAAGUAAAUUCUAAACUAUUGACAGCCUUGCUCAAAUUCCAGUCCUGCACUGUGCAUGGAAAGACCCCACAGGUGAAUACGUGAUUGAUUAGCUUUUCUGAUGACUAACGUGUCUUGAGGCAAAGAGAAGGAGGGGAUAGUUACUUCCUAACAUGAUUCUUGCCUCUGGAAAAAGUGUUUUCUUGGACUCUCCUCAGCACGGCAAGUCUCCACCAAGCUGGGGAGAGGCUAUUCCAGCUAUCAGUGGCUAGACCUUUCGUGAGUACUGUCUGAAAUAUUGCACAAAUAACGAUCAAAGCAGCUCCCUGAACUGGCUGGGCCCAGACAGUAAAUCCAGCCUGGUGAGGGCCAGACAGUGAUUUUGUUUCACAUUUCCGCCCAAGACACAGGCACAUGCAAGGAAGAGGAGAAUAAAAUAGAUAAAAAAAGAAAAAGAGCCCUUGGCUGUGGCCCAAACUCCGGCCAUAUCAGUUAGGCUUUGCUGCCACGUGGCAUAUGGUACAAGACAAACUGUCAGCCUUUUUCCCUCCUGUCUGUGCUUGCUUAGAGAUGACAGGAGCAAGAGCACGUUUGUGUCCCGGCAGCAGGCAUCAGGCAGGCUUAGCAGUGAUUUGGGGGGAAAAGGGGUGAAAGGCAGAGCAUCUUGCUGUGGCGAGCGGUGAUGCGUCUGCAUGGCUGGGCGUGGGGGGCCACACAGUAGCUGCGGGGGACAGCGCAGUGGCUGCGAUUGUGAGGAAACUGCAAAUUGAUCAAAUUGUAGAGGCAAGACUUUAGGCCUAUUAUCUGGGUCAUGUCAAUGUCUCUCUGGUCUCCAGUUGGUCACAGGGGCAAGUAGAGUGUGUGUAUGUUUGUGUGUAAAAGAGUCUAAGCUUUAAGAGCCAAAAUUCAAUUCUGUAAGUGUGUCUAGUCAAACCUUCAUGCACGUGUUGUUUGCACCGUGCCUCUGCAGCAAAUAGAUCUAACAAACACCAAGCGCAAACAGUUUUCAUUAGCAUCAGUGUGAUACUUCCCAAGACUUUGUGGUGAAGGUGAAUCUGAGGUCAAGUCCUGCACACCACCAAACUUAGAGCAAUUACAGAUCCUUAUUUAUCGAACUUCUUAGAAUUUUUUCAAGUUUUCGUGGCUGGAUACAGAAAAAAAUCCAGGAGACAAGUGAAGCUGCCGUUUCCAUAUAUGCAAUCUGACAUCUACGAGUCACAUUGUUCCCCUAUCAGCAGUGAUCACAGAGCCAGCCCUCUAUCAGAGUUGACUUCAGCAGAGCAUAUCGUGGCUAUUAGCCUAGCAUGGUGCGUGAUCUCCGUCUUGUCUUGUUGCUGAGGGUGCUGUCCUGUGUAGUGCGGGGGACACAUGCAUGAGGGAGGGCGUCGAUGUCACUUGUCACCACGCUUCUGUCAUAGUCCCCGGAGUUUCGAUGGCUCCCUCCGGUCCCUUGUCACUCUGCCUGGCUGGAAACAGCUGGUUACCAGAGCCAGUGCCAUGCUAGUUAACAUGGAGGGAUGUAUGGUACAUGCUGGUAUAUAGUCCAGUACUGGGAGCAGCCUAUGCGUAAUUCCACUCUAUUUAAUAUCUCCUUUUCAUUUUAAUAUUAUUAUUUGGUACAAUAUAUGUAUAUUUUUUUAGCUGUAUGUUCAAACCAGCUAAUGUCAAACAGGUUUAAUGAGAGCAGCUCCUGACUCCAGCGACCACACAGCCCAAUUCCUUGUAAAUCAGCAGUGUUGAUAUUAGCUGUUGAAGGCUAAAUGGCCAUUAUGGAUCCUCAACACUCUGACACGUUGUGACCUGCCUCCUCUAGUGAGGUAUGUGGCGCUGUGUGUGGGAAACACAUAGACUCAUAUACAUGCAUAGUCGCUCACUGCUCUGUGUGUGGGCCAUGUUUGCCACCACUUACUGACAGGUCAGACUCCCAUGGUGUGAUCAAACAGCAGCCACAACUCUCUAGAGUUCCCACAACACUCCGCCUGGUGGAGAGUGGACAAUAAAAACAAGAGUAGUGGGCUUUCAUCACAGGCUUUACCAAAGCCUGGCCUAUUCUUGCGCACUCAUUUGGCCUAACUUCAUAAAGGUCAACUCAAAAAUGUAAACUGAAUGUAGUUGUGUGCAGGGAGUGGCUCCAAACAGCAUAUACAGUAGACACUGUACUUGUUUUAGGACAUCCAAAAUAGCAUUAUUAGUCUUUCACGGGACAGGAAAAUUUGGCGCACAACUAUAUUAAGUAUUGUGGGUCAAAGUUGAACUAGAGGGCCAGUCUGUAAACUGUGAGAGAAAGAAAGACGGGUACAAUAUGCAACAAAGGUCCCUUGAACAGUUGAUGUUGCAGUUAUGUGCCUUGAAAAUCAAAAAUGCAUAUGUUUCCUCUUACCUGUAGUGCAACUUAUAAAUGUAGAUUGUUUUGGUGUGAGUUGCCGAGUGUUGGAGAUAUCCGCUGCAGAGAUGUCUGCCUUCUCUCGAAUAUAAUAGAACUGGAUGGCACUCAGCUUGUGGUGCUUAAAAUGCCAAAAAAUAAAUAAAUACAUUUGAAAAACUCAACAGCAAUGUCUCUUUCCAGAAAUCAUGAUGCGGUUAAUCCACAGACCUUGUCGUGAGCAGUUUCAUGUAGGAACUAUUUUCUUUCUACCAAACUACACCCACCAAAUCACUGCACAGAAGGAACGAUGCAUCUACUGCUUGCUUACGUCACAUCUCAGCAGAGGACACCAUCAACUUUUACAUCUCACACUGCACAGGCCUCUCGUCCAUGAGUGGAUACACGCUUUCUUCUACGCAGUGAUACAGUUGGCCGGUGUAGUUCCAUCGAAAGAAAAUAGUUCCUACAUGAAACUUCUCACAGCAAGGUCAAUGGAUUAUCUUGAGUAACCAGGUCAUGAUUUUUGUCGAAACAUUGCUGUUGAGUUUUUCAAAUGCAUUAUUUGGUGCUUUGAGCACUACUAGCUGACUUUCAUCUGGUUACAUUAUAUUCAAUAGAGUACAGAUAUCUCUAUGGCGGUAUCUCCAACACUUGGCAGCUCACACUAAAACAAUCUAGACUGAUAAAUAGCACUACAGGUAAGAGUUUAAACAUGUAUUUUUUAUUUUGUGGUGGACGGUCCCUUUAAUCAACUCUCCUGCUAGAGUCUCUCUGUAAUACCUUCUUAGGAGCCAGGUACUCAGUACAUGAUGACAAUACUUUGUUGUGUGUCUACCACUCAGAUGCAGGGGGCAGAUUUAUUACGACUUGUGCAAACAGUGGUGAUUAGCUCUAUAAAACUUCAGGCUAAACAGACUGACUGGCCAGUCAGCCAAGAGAUAUUGUAGCAAGGAGGGGGCCCUAUCUGUCGCGCUAUCAGCCCCAGCCCCUGUCCUCCACUAAUGGAAUUGUCCUCCACCCCGGGCUGUGUAUUACCAUAGAUCUGUGGGAUAGUCUCACUCCAGCAGGAGAGCCCAGUGAUUUAAUAAAGGACCCCUUUCUGACUCACUUACAACACAACAACAUCAAGACAGGCAAGUUCAGACAUAUAGCAAAUAAAUAAACAGAAGCUUCCAUCGGAAAUGGGAUGUGCAACUCAAUCAGUCUGCAAGUGUGCGCGCGUGUGUGUCUGUCUAUGACCAGGCGGAUUAUUCAAAUGAGCUGUGCCUUUUAGUCUACAGAAGAAAGCAGAAACGACAAGUAGUUCAUGGUGUAUGAGCAUCGUCAGUCCUCAAUCUACACUGACUGUUCUCUUUCAUUAGAAGCAAGGCCUGUUCAGACAGUUCAUGAUGAUGCAUUUAAAUUUCAGCUGUUCGAAAGCAAGUUUGGGUUUUAAAUUUUGUUUUUCAUUGCAUUGCUUAUCUGAAAAUAAUGUCUUAUAAACAUUUAUUAAAUGUUUAUAUGCUGUUUAUGAAUGCUAAAUAACGUGGGUUCAAAUAAAG